UUAGUGUAAUUGGUGGGAGCAAUUUGAAAUCAAUUACAUAUAACAUAAUGAACCAGCUAGUAUGUCAUGAACUAGCACUAAAAAUGAAUUGGAGUGAUAAAUUCAAAAAUAAACACGUCUUUGGAAAGUUAAAAAAAAUUCCUGGCAUAGUAUAUAUUGCAGUUCAAAAGCAUGAAAAAGGAGGAAGUAAUGCAGAUGUUGAGAAGUGCAUAAAAAGGUGGCUGAUGCAAGCUCCGGACAGAAAUGGUGGCCGCGCACAACGUGCUUUAAAAACUUUAACUCAAAACUGUUGAAUUUUCUUUGAUAUAUUAUAUUUUACUUUCAU
Non-coding RNA from Hydra vulgaris (swiftwater hydra), 325 nucleotides. The record is from RefSeq and is a predicted model, not a curated record. NCBI's taxonomy places the organism in Eukaryota, Metazoa, Cnidaria, Hydrozoa, Anthoathecata, Hydridae.